CCUACGGGAGGCAGCAGUGGGGAAUAUUGCGCAAUGGGCGCAAGCCUGAUGCAGCCAUGCCGCGUGUGUGAAGAAGGCCUUCGGGUUGUAAAGCACUUUCAGUCAGGAGGAAAGGUUAGUAGUUAAUACCUGCUAGCUGUGACGUUACUGACAGAAGAAGCACCGGCUAACUCCGUGCCAGCAGCCGCGGUAAUA
This 195-nucleotide ribosomal RNA is filed under the name uncultured bacterium. RNAcentral describes it as "partial small subunit ribosomal RNA". It matches the Rfam family "Bacterial small subunit ribosomal RNA", at positions 338 to 525 of the family's 1533-position model. The record is from RNAcentral.